This 493-nucleotide ribosomal RNA is filed under the name uncultured bacterium. RNAcentral's name for it is "partial 16S ribosomal RNA". It matches the Rfam family "Bacterial small subunit ribosomal RNA", at positions 30 to 523 of the family's 1533-position model. The record is from RNAcentral.
AUUGAACGCUGGCGGCAUGCCUUACACAUGCAAGUCGAACGGUAACAGGUUAAGCUGACGAGUGGCGAACGGGUGAGUAAUAUAUCGGAACGUGCCCAGUCGUGGGGGAUAACGUAGCGAAAGCUACGCUAAUACCGCAUACGAUCUACGGAUGAAAGCGGGGGAUCGCAAGACCUCGCGCGAUUGGAGCGGCCGAUAUCAGAUUAGCUAGUUGGUGAGGUAAAGGCUCACCAAGGCGACGAUCUGUAGCUGGUCUGAGAGGACGACCAGCCACACUGGAACUGAGACACGGUCCAGACUCCUACGGGAGGCAGCAGUGGGGAAUUUUGGACAAUGGGCGCAAGCCUGAUCCAGCAAUGCCGCGUGCAGGACGAAGGCCUUCGGGUUGUAAACUGCUUUUGUACGGAGCGAAACGGUCUUCUCUAAUACAGGGGGCUAAUGACGGUACCGUAAGAAUAAGCACCGGCUAACUACGUGCCAGCAGCCGCCGUAA